UACGUAGGUGACAAGCGUUGUCCGGAUUUACUGGGCGUAAAGAGCGCGCAGGCGGUCGGUCAAGUCGAGUGUGAAAGCCCCCGGCUCAACUGGGGAGGGUCAUUCGAUACUGAUCGACUCGAAGGCAGGAGAGGGUAGUGGAAUUCCCGGUGUAGUGGUGAAAUGCGUAGAUAUCGGGAGGAACACCAGUGGCGAAGGCGGCUCACUGGACCGGCAUUGACGCUGAGGUGCGAAAGCGUGGGGAGCAAACAGG
Molecule: ribosomal RNA, 253 nt
Filed under: uncultured bacterium
Lineage: Bacteria
Description: partial 16S ribosomal RNA
Rfam family: Bacterial small subunit ribosomal RNA
Source: RNAcentral